AUACGUAGGGUGCAAGCGUUAAUCGGAAUUACUGGGCGUAAAGCGUGCGCAGGCGGUUUUGUAAGACAGUGGUGAAAUCCCCGGGCUCAAACUGGGAACUGCCCUUGUGACUGCAAGGCUGGAGUGCGGCAGAGGGGGAUGGAAUUCCGCGUGUAGCAGUGAAAUGCGUAGAUAUGCGGAGGAACACCGAUGGCGAAGGCAAUCCCCUGGGCCUGCACUGACGCUCAUGCACGAAAGCGUGGGGAGCAAACAGGAUUAGAUUCCCUGGUAGUCCACGCCCUAAACGAUGUCAACUGGUUGUUGGGGAUUUAUUUUCUCAGUAACGAAGCUAACGCGUGAAGUUGACCGCCUGGGGAGUACGGCCGCAAGGUUAAAACUUAAAGGAAUUGACGGGG
RNAcentral lists this ribosomal RNA (395 nucleotides) under uncultured bacterium. RNAcentral describes it as "partial 16S ribosomal RNA". It matches the Rfam family "Bacterial small subunit ribosomal RNA", at positions 523 to 918 of the family's 1533-position model. The record is from RNAcentral.